Long non-coding RNA from Daphnia pulex (common water flea), 488 nucleotides. RefSeq lists it as uncharacterized. NCBI's taxonomy places the organism in Eukaryota, Metazoa, Arthropoda, Branchiopoda, Diplostraca, Daphniidae. The transcript has 3 exons. The record is from RefSeq and is a predicted model, not a curated record.
CUGAUGAUUGUUUCCUCGUAGGAAUGCUGAGACUGCGGUUAAUCGAGCUAGUAUUUAAUCGACGAAAUUCGACGAAACUUUUUGCAGUCGGUCUCGACUCUUCGUGACUUGAAGAGAACGCGGGGCUGCCAGCAUCAAUGGUGUAGUUCUAGCAUUUGGACGCCUUGCGGCUAAUGUAGCGGAGCCAGUAUGAAUUAUUUCAACUUUAUGGCAGAAAAGGGCUAAUUUUUCUUUCAGCUGCUGCUGCUUAUUAUAGAAUCCAGCCGAGAAGACAUGGACAUCUGUAUACUCGACCGCGCUUAUAUCCUUUAUCCGUUUUCUCAAUGGGACAAUUUAUUAUUUGAACCAGCCAAGUGUAUUCAUUCUAAUACGCACUUUGUAGCGUGAAGGGCUUCCAAAUAUGCCCUUCAAUCCUCUUUCCAUUUUAUUCAAUUACUACUAUGUUGCAUCAACUAAAUCGGACAAUACAAUUUGAACAUCUUAAACUA